GUGGGGAAUAUUGCGCAAUGGGCGAAAGCUUGACGCAGCAACGCCGCGUGGGUGAGGAAGGCCUUCGGGUUGUAAAGCCCUGUCAGGUGGAACGAAUCUGAUCCCGAGCGAAUACCUCGGGAAAAUGACGGUACCACCAGAGGAAGCCCCGGCAAACUACGUGCCAGCAGCCGCGGUAAUACGUAGGGGGCGAGCGUUGUUCGGAAUUACUGGGCGUAAAGAGCGCGUAGGCGGUCAAAUAAGUCAGGCGUGAAAUCCCUCGGCUUAACCGAGGUUUGGCGCUUGAAACUAUCUGACUUGAGUUUAGGAGAGGAGAGUGGAAUUCCCAGUGUAGCGGUGAAAUGCGUAGAUAUUGGGAGGAACACCUGUGGCGAAGGCGGCUCUCUGGACUAAUACUGACGCUGAGGCGCGAAAGCUAGGGGAGCAAACGGGAUUAGAAACCCCGGUAGUCC
This 452-nucleotide ribosomal RNA is filed under the name uncultured bacterium. Its description in RNAcentral is "bacterial SSU rRNA". It matches the Rfam family "Bacterial small subunit ribosomal RNA", at positions 354 to 796 of the family's 1533-position model. The record is from RNAcentral.